RNAcentral lists this long non-coding RNA (579 nucleotides) under Olea europaea subsp. europaea. Lineage: Eukaryota; Viridiplantae; Streptophyta; Magnoliopsida; Lamiales; Oleaceae. The record is from RNAcentral.
GAAUUGUUGAUGAAAAAUCAUGGAUUACGUCCAACUGGUUCUGUACCAUUGCCUGAAGCAAAUGGUACUACAUUGUCUGAAGCAAAUACAAUAUCAAGACAAGGACGUGGACGUGGACGUGGACACGGACACGGACGUGUACGUGGAAUAAAUCAUGGAAGAAAUAAUCAACAAAGUUAUCAACAACAAGGCAAUAAAUUCAAAAGGCACAAAGCAAACGAGAGUGGCAAAUCUAAAAAGGAGCAUGAAGAAAGUUGCUUCAGAUGUGGAAUGAAAGGGCAUUGGGCACGUANGACUAUAGUCCUCCCCAAAGCCCGUUAUGAGUGGAUGCACCUUCGUUUGCAAGACUUUAAAACGGUUAGUGAGUACAAUUCUGAAUUGUUCAGAAUAUGUUCAAAGUUGACUUUGUGUGGAGAAAAAAUCACCGAUGAAGAUAUGCUGGAAAAAACUUUCUCCACCUUUCAUGCCUCGAAUGUGCUCCUGCAGCAGCAAUAUCGUGAGCGUGGCUUCAAAAAGUACUCAGAACUUAUAUCUUGCCUACUAGUUGCUGAACAAAAUAAUGAAUUGUUGAUGAAAAAU